This 317-nucleotide ribosomal RNA is filed under the name uncultured eukaryote. Its description in RNAcentral is "partial 18S ribosomal RNA". It matches the Rfam family "Eukaryotic small subunit ribosomal RNA", at positions 1470 to 1796 of the family's 1831-position model. The record is from RNAcentral.
CCCUUAGAUGUUCUGGGCCGCACGCGCGCUACACUGAUGCAUUCAACAAGCCUAGCCUUGACCGAGAGGUCCGGGUAAUCUUUGAAACUGCAUCGUGAUGGGGCUAGAUUAUUGCAAUUAUUAAUCUUCAACGAGGAAUGCCUAGUAAGCGUGAUUCAUCAAAUCGCGUUGAUUACGUCCCUGCCCUUUGUACACACCGCCCGUCGCUCCUACUGAUUGGGUGAUCCGGUGAGCUGUUCGGCCAUAGCAAUGUUUCUUGAGCAGGGCAAUGAAUGUUUCGCAAACCUUGCCACUUAGAGGAAGGAGAAGUCGUAACA